CGGGAUGUAGCGCAGCCUGGUAGCGCGCGUCGUUCGGGACGACGAGGCCGCAGGUUCGAAUCCUGUCAUCCCGACCA
This 77-nucleotide transfer RNA is filed under the name Cytophagales bacterium. RNAcentral describes it as "tRNA-Pro". It matches the Rfam family "tRNA". Rfam says of the family: Transfer RNA (tRNA) molecules are approximately 80 nucleotides in length. Their secondary structure includes four short double-helical elements and three loops (D, anti-codon, and T loops). Lineage: Bacteria; Pseudomonadati; Bacteroidota; Cytophagia; Cytophagales. The record is from RNAcentral.